RNAcentral lists this non-coding RNA (105 nucleotides) under Climaconeis cf. scalaris. The record is from RNAcentral. Lineage: Eukaryota; Bacillariophyta; Bacillariophyceae; Naviculales; Amphipleuraceae.
UUGAUAGAGCUUAAUACAAAUUCUAAUCUAAAUAUUUCAUGCUGCUAUUUCACAAUCCUGACAUAAUAAACAUUUAUUCCAUUUGUAAAAAGCCUCUAUACAAAG